CCAUGGAGCUUUAAACUUACCACCCACCUCUGUGGUACCACACCAUUCAACACAAGAGACCUGCGUGCUAGUUUUAGGUUGGGGGGACCACGGAGUAUAAUUAAACCUCCACAACAAAUGGGCUAAUACCCUUAUCCACGAGACACAACUCUAAGAAUUACUAAACUAAUGCUUAUGACCCGAUAUUCGAUCAAUGAACCAAGUUA
This 206-nucleotide ribosomal RNA is filed under the name Rana macrocnemis (Iranian long-legged frog). RNAcentral's name for it is "partial 16S ribosomal RNA". Lineage: Eukaryota; Metazoa; Chordata; Amphibia; Anura; Ranidae. The record is from RNAcentral. RNAcentral also lists the same sequence under 1 other name.